GCAUCGAUGAAGAACGCAGCGAAAUGCGAUACGUAAUGUGAAUUGCAGAAUUCAGUGAAUCAUCGAGUCUUUGAACGCACAUUGCGCCCCUUGGUAUUCCGGGGGACAUGCCUGUCCGAGCGUCAUUGCUGCCCUCAAGCACGGCUUGUGUGUUGGGCCCCGUCCUCCUUCCCGGGGGACGGGCCCGAAAGGCAGCGGCGGCACCGCGUCCGGUCCUCGAGCGUAUGGGGCUUUGUCACCCGCUCUUGUAGGCCCGGCCGGCGCUUGCCGACAACCAUCAAUCUUUUUUCAGGUUGACCUCGGAUCAGGUAGGGAUACCCGCUGAACUUAAGCAUAUCAAUAAGCGGAGGA
RNAcentral lists this ribosomal RNA (351 nucleotides) under uncultured fungus. RNAcentral describes it as "eukaryotic LSU rRNA". The stretch from base 1 to 125 matches the Rfam family "5.8S ribosomal RNA", at positions 30 to 154 of the family's 154-position model. The record is from RNAcentral. Lineage: Eukaryota; Fungi.